GAAAUGUAACAAAUGUAAUAUGUUGCCAGCACACUAGUUUGUGAAACCUAUAUGGCAAUAAAUCUCUUUCUGAUUCUGAUUUAGGACACAAUAAGUAACUUGAGGUGUCAACAUUCUAUUGGCCAAGUCUAUUGUGACAUUUAUUCACCAUUACCUGAUCCUAAGGAUCACGAUGGGUUGGUGCAACAGGACCACAGUGGCCUACAUCAAUCGCCAAGGGGGAGUCAGCUCUCCUCUACUCAACCUGCGCUCGUUGAAGGCCUCCCAUAUUCCGAGUCAACUCAAUGUGGGAAGAGACCUCAUGUCCCGAGGAGGUCCUCAGCACGAUUCAGGGUGCCUGGGCUGUAUCUACUUCUAAGGUGUAUGUGGGGGAAUGGAACGUCUUUUCGCUAUGGUGCAAGGGCCAUUCUAUAGACCCUGUGUGCUGUGAGGUGGGUUGAAUUCUCAACCUAAAGUCAUCCCCCAUUGUUAAGGACUAGAACAAUCUUGAUGUUGAUGCGUGGAAUAUGCAUGAAAGUUGUGAUUUUGGUUUUGGCUGACCGCCACUAUUUGGUGUAACAUAGAUAUGCAUCAAAGUUGGAAAGAUUCCCUUAACUUUAGGAGGUUAAUUGAAUCAUGAUGUUUAUGUUGUCACGAAGUACUUUGGCCAUUGCCUGAGGAAAUGUACAUUUUGAUAUGCUAAUUUGGGAGUUGUUUCACUGAGUAAGACAACUCUGUCAAUAGGUUUUAUGGGUUAUAAUUCCUUGACACGAGCGACUGUGUGGCACAUUUGUUGUUUUUUGAUUUUGUUUGUGGAUGUUGUGUUUUUAUCAUUUUC
Esox lucius (northern pike) is the source of this 817-nucleotide long non-coding RNA. The record is from Ensembl. NCBI's taxonomy places the organism in Eukaryota, Metazoa, Chordata, Actinopteri, Esociformes, Esocidae.